AUUGAACGCUGGCGGAAUGCUUUACACAUGCAAGUCGAACGGCAGCACGGGGCAACCUGGUGGCGAGUGGCGAACGGGUGAGUAAUACAUCGGAACGUGCCCAAUCGUGGGGGAUAACGUAGCGAAAGUUACGCUAAUACCGCAUACGAUCUACGGAUGAAAGCGGGGGAUCGCAAGACCUCGCGCGAUUGGAGCGGCCGAUGUCAGAUUAGGUAGUUGGUGGGGUAAAGGCUCACCAAGCCGACGAUCUGUAGCUGGUCUGAGAGGACGACCAGCCACACUGGGACUGAGACACGGCCCAGACUCCUACGGGAGGCAGCAGUGGGGAAUUUUGGACAAUGGGCGCAAGCCUGAUCCAGCCAUGCCGCGUGAGUGAAGAAGGCC
This 384-nucleotide ribosomal RNA is filed under the name uncultured bacterium. Its description in RNAcentral is "bacterial SSU rRNA". It matches the Rfam family "Bacterial small subunit ribosomal RNA", at positions 29 to 416 of the family's 1533-position model. The record is from RNAcentral.